This 458-nucleotide long non-coding RNA is filed under the name Equus asinus (donkey). RNAcentral describes it as "lncRNA (ENSEASG00005031227.1)". The record is from RNAcentral. Lineage: Eukaryota; Metazoa; Chordata; Mammalia; Perissodactyla; Equidae.
CGCACGGCGAGGUCCCCUGGGAACUUCGGUCCAGCCUCCCUGCGAACGACGCCGAUGGGACCCCCGUCCCGUCGGUCCCGCCCCCAGCCCAGCCCUCCCGGGUGGCUGCGGUCCUCCCGCUUCCUGGCGCGCCUUCAGGGCUGACGUCAGGGCGACGAGGACCGUCUCGGAAGAGCGCUUGCUCUACCAUCGGGUCCCUAGACAGAGCUCAGGAAGUGCCACUGGCUUGUACUUCAGGGUCAGGGCCAGGUUCAAGGACGAGUUCCGGGCACCAGCAUGUCUACUGUGCACGUUUCCCGGGAGCACCUGUCUAGGGGCGUCCGGUUCCAGUUUUUUCAGGGGCAUCAAUGACACUGAAAGCUUCUGCCCCUUUGGGGUCAGGGCUGGGAGGUGACGGCUGAAUCGGGAGGCGGGAGAGGCCCCGGGAGCCAAGGGGCGGUGGGAACAUCUCAGAGGGG